AUACUGCUGAGCUAGGGACCGGGAGAGGCCGAGGGUAUUCCCUGGGGUAGGGGUGAAAUCCUGUAAUCCCAGGAGGACCACCUGUGGCGAAGGCGCUCGGCUGGAACGGGUCCGACGGUGAGGGACGAAGGCCUGGGGAGCGAACCGGAUUAGAUACCCGGGUAGUCCAGGCUGUAAACGAUGCGGGCUAGGUGUCGCGGGAGCUACGAGCUCCGGUGGUGCCGGAGGGAAGCCGUUAAGCCCGCCGCCUGGGAAGUACGGCCGCAAGGCUGAAACUUAAAGGAAUUGGCGGGGGAGCACUACAAGGGGUGGAGCGUGCGGUUUAAUUGGAUUCAACGCCGGGAACCUCACCGGGGGCGACGGCAGGAUGAAGGCCAGGCUGAAGGUCUUGCCGGACACGCCGAGAGGAGGUGCAUGGCCGCCGUCAGCUCGUACCGUGAGGCGUCCACUUAAGUGUGGUAACGAGCGAGACCCGCGCCCCCAGUUGCCAGUCCUCCCCGUUGGGGAGGAGGCACUCUGGGGGGACCGCCGGCGAUAAGCCGGAGGAAGGAGCGGGCGACGGUAGGUCAGUAUGCCCCGAAACCCCCGGGCUACACGCGCGCUACAAUGGGCGGGACAAUGGGAACCGACCCCGAAAGGGGAAGGGAAUCCCCUAAACCCGCCCCCAGUUCGGAUUGCGGGCUGCAACUCGCCCGCAUGAAGCUGGAAUCCCUAGUACCCGCGUGUCAU
RNAcentral lists this ribosomal RNA (729 nucleotides) under uncultured archaeon. RNAcentral's name for it is "bacterial SSU rRNA". It matches the Rfam family "Archaeal small subunit ribosomal RNA", at positions 581 to 1308 of the family's 1478-position model. The record is from RNAcentral.